Molecule: ribosomal RNA, 585 nt
Filed under: uncultured fungus
Lineage: Eukaryota; Fungi
Description: eukaryotic LSU rRNA
Rfam family: 5.8S ribosomal RNA (bases 232-384)
Source: RNAcentral
AAGUCGUAACAAGGUUUCCGUAGGUGAACCUGCGGAAGGAUCAUUAUAGAGUUCGGGUCCUCACGGGCCUAACCUCCAACCCUUUGUCUACCAAACCUCACGUUGCUUCGGCAGGUCUGUCUUUCAGACUGCCGGGGUUUCCACCCCUGGCUCGUACCCGCCGGUGGCCAACUCAACCAAAACUCUUUUAAAUAAAUCGCGUCUGAAUACUUAAAAAAGUAAUAACUAUAAAACUUUCAACAACGGAUCUCUUGGUUCUGGCAUCGAUGAAGAACGCAGCGAAAUGCGAUAAGUAAUGCGAAUUGCAGAAUCCGUGAGUCAUCGAAUCUUUGAACGCAUAUUGCGCCCCUUGGUAUUCCGAGGGGCAUGCCUGUUCGAGCGUCAUUAUCACCCUCAAGCCUAGCUUGGUGUUGGACUUCACCGUACUUUGGUUAUGGUUGGUCUCAAAAAUAGUGACGGCGUCCUAGAAGGAAUCGGUACGAGGAGCUUUUAACCGAGCAUGUACACGGUAGGAUUCUACGGGCGACGGUCUUUUAUUAUUAUAGUGUUGACCUCGGAUCAGGUAGGAAUACCCGCUGAACUUAA